GUUUGGAAUUUAGAUUGACAUCUGCAAAAAUAUAAGUAGACAGAGUUAUACCUGUAUAUAGAUAAAUUUAAUUAUGUGAAAUUCAAUUGUUAAUAUAAUGUAUACAAGUUGAACGCUGCCUUAUUAUAGUGUUUGCAGAUGUCAAUCUUCAGGAAAAUACUUGAGCAAACAUUGAUACAAACAAAGCAAGGAAGCAAUCCUAACCACACUAUUAACUUGCUAGCAAUAGGAUCACAACUCAACAAAACAGGCUACAUUCUACUUUACCUUUUAUACCUCAUCUUUGCUACCUCAACCAUUAAAAUGUAUAUACCUACCUCAACCUUUAUUAUAUAGAUAUAUUUUUAGUUUCAAUUGUAUAAAUAUACUACACAUGUACAAAUGUUACACCUCUUAAUUUGUCUGGUUUACUUGUAAUUUGUAAAAGUGCAAAGGGGAGAAGAAGAUAGCCAUUAAAUGAUGCAAUGAAAGGGAAAAUGUUAAUUUGUUUUAUCAUAAUAGGGUCAAAUCCCAUUAUUACAUUGGUAAAACGAAUGUAUCGAUUUUCUAAAACUUAUGUACAUUGAAUUACAGUCCCGAUACCAUUUAUUGUCUCACUUGUGAAAAAUGUCACAAAAUAAGCCAUUGUUGUUACUUUUCAUAUUUUUAAAAAAAUAUUUAGAUUUUGAUAUAUAUAUAAAUAUACAUGUAUAUAAACAUUUGUCUUCUACUCUGGAUUGAUUAUUCUUUUUUGGAUACCUGUUUUCAUCGAUUUCAUGGAAACAGGUGAACCACGAUUUUCAAACAUUCAACGAAUGACAAAUUUUCUAUAAGCCUUGUGUGCAGAGAUUGUCUAAACCACGAAAUUAAAUACCAGCAAAAAAGCUAGUUUUCCUGAAUCCCGAAAAAUUGGUACCAACGAAAAAUAACUGAAUCCACGCUAGUUUGUGUCUAGAGAUCUUUUAGUUUUUAUGUCUUUAAUUGUCUCUCAUUGAUAUCGAUCCCACAUCUAUCAUUCUUAUAUUCAUCCAACAAGUGUUUGGUUCAAGCAAAAUAGCUUUAUAUUCUACAUGUUUCUAAGCUUUUACAAAUAAAUUUCAUAGUUCAAGAAAAUGUAUAGUGAUCUACACAUAUUAUGUCCGAGCGGAUAUGUGAUUGGUAGAAUUAUUAUGUAUAAUAUUUUAUGGACACGGGUGGUUUUAGAAUGUUUAUGUUCCAGAACCUAUGGGUAUUUGGACCCUACGCUGGACCGUAUGCAUAUUUUAUCAAAAUACUCAUACAGUCGUACGGUAUGCGUAUGGUCUGACUAAUAUUAAGAAGAUGGUCAAGUUUAUUAGAUACAAAUGCAUAGAACAGAUCAAUAUAACUUAACUCUCAAAUUGAUAUAAAAAAAGUUCAAUUGUAAUUGAAAUAAAAACUUUAUAUUUUAACUAUUUGAAAACAUCACGCUAAUUUAAAAAAUCUGUUAAUCGCUUGUAUUUAGCA
Molecule: long non-coding RNA, 1464 nt
Filed under: Mytilus galloprovincialis (Mediterranean mussel)
Lineage: Eukaryota; Metazoa; Mollusca; Bivalvia; Mytilida; Mytilidae
Source: RNAcentral